This 200-nucleotide unclassified non-coding RNA is filed under the name soil metagenome. Its description in RNAcentral is "partial contains internal transcribed spacer 2 and large subunit ribosomal RNA". The record is from RNAcentral.
ACCCUCAAGCUCUAGCAGCUUGGUGCUGGGGCAUCUACAGUGACCUGUAGGCCUUGAAAGAAGUGGCGGGCCUGUCAUGACCCCGAGCGUAGUAAUAUUUACCUCUCGCUUAGGGCGUCUUACGGGACUCUAGCCAUUAAACCCCCUAUAUUUAUACAAAGGUUGACCUCGGAUCAGGUAGGAAUACCCGCUGAACUUAA